Molecule: non-coding RNA, 110 nt
Filed under: fish metagenome
Source: RNAcentral
CUAAGGGCCGCCGUCCUCGCACUGGCUCGCUGACGGGCUAGGGUCGAAAGACUAGCGAGGUCAUUUACGUCAGAUAAGCUUUAGGUGAGUCACGGGCCUAGAGACGAAAA